RNAcentral lists this unclassified non-coding RNA (218 nucleotides) under Ascomycota sp. RNAcentral describes it as "partial contains small subunit ribosomal RNA, internal transcribed spacer 1, and 5.8S ribosomal RNA". The stretch from base 1 to 47 matches the Rfam family "Eukaryotic small subunit ribosomal RNA", at positions 1785 to 1831 of the family's 1831-position model. Lineage: Eukaryota; Fungi; Ascomycota. The record is from RNAcentral.
AAAGUCGUAACAAGGUCUCCGUUGGUGAACCAGCGGAGGGAUCAUUACAGAGUUGAAAAACUCCAACCCCUGUGAACAUACCUUUACUGUUGCUUCGGCGGACGAUGGCCCCCCCCGGGGGCCGGACGCCGCCGGAGGUUACAAACCCUGAAUUUUAGUGUAUCUCUGAGUAUAAAACCAAAUAAUUAAAACUUUCAACAACGGAUCUCUUGGUUCUG